GCUGGGCAUGGUGGAACAUGCCUGUAAGCCCUGCUUCUGGAGAAGCUAAGGCAGGGGGAUCACUUGAGCUUGGGGGCUCUGAAUUGCAGUUUGCCAAGCUGAUUGGGUGUCUGCACUAAGGCCAGUAUCAAUAUGGUGAGCCUUUGUGAGUGAGGGUUCUGAAGGUUACCUGAGGCAAGGUGAACCAGCUGUGGUCAGAAAUAAGCAGGUCAAGUCUCCUCUGCCUAUAUCAGCAGUGGAAUUGGGCCUCAAGUAGCUGCUGCAUUUCUCACCUAGCUAAGAUAGGGAGACCCAGUCUCA
This 300-nucleotide signal recognition particle RNA is filed under the name Phascolarctos cinereus (koala). Its description in RNAcentral is "Metazoan signal recognition particle RNA (ENSPCIG00000024071.2)". It matches the Rfam family "Metazoan signal recognition particle RNA". From Rfam's summary of the family: The signal recognition particle (SRP) is a universally conserved ribonucleoprotein. It is involved in the co-translational targeting of proteins to membranes. The record is from RNAcentral. Lineage: Eukaryota; Metazoa; Chordata; Mammalia; Diprotodontia; Phascolarctidae.